RNAcentral lists this ribosomal RNA (400 nucleotides) under uncultured bacterium. Its description in RNAcentral is "bacterial SSU rRNA". It matches the Rfam family "Bacterial small subunit ribosomal RNA", at positions 355 to 772 of the family's 1533-position model. The record is from RNAcentral.
UGGGGAAUAUUGGACAAUGGGGGCAACCCUGAUCCAGCAAUGCCGCGUGAGUGAUGAAGGCCUUCGGGUUGUAAAGCUCUUUUGGCGGGGACGAUGAUGACGGUACCCGCAGAAUAAGCCCCGGCUAACUUCGUGCCAGCAGCCGCGGUAAUACGAAGGGGGCAAGCGUUGUUCGGAAUUACUGGGCGUAAAGGGCGCGUAGGCGGCCGAUCAAGUCAGGCGUGAAAUUCCCGGGCUCAACCUGGGGGCUGCGCUUGAUACUGAUUGGCUUGAAUGCGGGAGAGGAUAGUGGAAUUCCCAGUGUAGAGGUGAAAUUCGUAGAUAUUGGGAAGAACACCAGUGGCGAAGGCGGCUAUCUGGCCCGUGAUUGACGCUGAGGCGCGAAAGCGUGGGGAGCAAA